This 497-nucleotide ribosomal RNA is filed under the name uncultured bacterium. RNAcentral describes it as "partial 16S ribosomal RNA". It matches the Rfam family "Bacterial small subunit ribosomal RNA", at positions 28 to 507 of the family's 1533-position model. The record is from RNAcentral.
GACGAACGCUGGCGGCGUGCCUAAUACAUGCAAGUUGAGCGAUGAAGAUUGGUGCUUGCACCAAUUUGAAGAGCAGCGAACGGGUGAGUAACGCGUGGGGAAUCUGCCUUUGAGCGGGGGACAACAUUUGGAAACGAAUGCUAAUACCGCAUAACAACUUUAAACAUAAGUUUUAAGUUUGAAAGAUGCAAUUGCAUCACUCAAAGAUGAUCCCGCGUUGUAUUAGCUAGUUGGUGAGGUAAAGGCUCACCAAGGCGAUGAUACAUAGCCGACCUGAGAGGGUGGUCGGCCACAUUGGGACUGGGACACGGCCCAAACUCCUACGGGAGGCAGCAGUAGGGAAUCUUCGGCAAUGGACGAAAGUCUGGCCGAGCAACGCCGCGGGAGUGAAGAAGGUUUUCGGAUCGUAAAACUCUGUUGGUAGGGAAGAACGUUGGUGAGAGUGGAAAGCUCAUCAAGUGACGGUAACUACCCAGAAAGGGACGGCUAACUACGUG